This 512-nucleotide ribosomal RNA is filed under the name uncultured bacterium. Its description in RNAcentral is "bacterial SSU rRNA". It matches the Rfam family "Bacterial small subunit ribosomal RNA", at positions 8 to 518 of the family's 1533-position model. The record is from RNAcentral.
AGAGUUUGAUCAUGGCUCAGGAUGAACGCUGGCGGCGUGCCUAAUACAUGCAAGUCGAGCGAGAAUCAGUGAUGUAGAGAUUCGUCAAAGCGGAUCUGAGGAAAGCGGCGGACGGGUGAGUAACGCGUAGGCAACCUGCCCUUAGCAGAGGGAUAGCCAUUGGAAACGAUGAUUAAAACCUCAUAAUGCUGUUUUUUACACAUGUAGAGACAGCCAAAGAUUUAUCGGCUAAGGAUGGGCCUGCGUCUGAUUAACUAGUUGGUGAGGUAACGGCCCACCAAGGUGACGAUCAGUAGCCGACCUGAGAGGGUGAUCGGCCACAUUGGAACUGAGACACGGUCCAAACUUCUACGGAAGGCAGCAGUAAGGAAUCUUGCACAAUGGGGGAAACCCUGAUGCAGCAACGCCGCGUGAACGAUGAAGGCCUUAGGGUUGUAAAGUUCUGAUCUGCGGGAAGAAGAAGUGACGGUACCACAGGAGAAAGCCCCGGCUAAAUACGUGCCAGCCGCCGC